Molecule: ribosomal RNA, 460 nt
Filed under: uncultured bacterium
Lineage: Bacteria
Description: partial 16S ribosomal RNA
Rfam family: Bacterial small subunit ribosomal RNA
Source: RNAcentral
CCUACGGGAGGCAGCAGUGAGGAAUAUUGGUCAAUGGACGAGAGCCUGAACCAGCCAAGUAGCGUGAAGGAUGACUGCCCUAUGGGUUGUAAACUUCUUUUAUAUGGGAAUAAAAUGUUCCACGUGUGGGAUUUUGUAUGUACCAUAUGAAUAAGGAACGGCCAACUCCGUGCCAGCAGCCGCGGUAAUACGGAGGAACCGAGCGUUAUCCGGAUUUAUUGGGUUUAAAGGGAGCGUAGGUGGAAUGUUAAGUCCGUUGUGAAAGUUUGCGGCUCAACCGUAAAAUUGCAGUUGAAACUGGCAGUCUUGAGUACAGGAGAGGUAGGCGGAAUUCGUGGUGUAGCGGUGAAAUGCUUAGAUAUCACGAAGAACUCCGAUUGCGAAGGCAGCUCACUGGACUGCAACUGACACUGAGGCUCGAAAGUGUGGGUAUCAAACAGGAUUAGAUACCCUGGUAGUC